Molecule: ribosomal RNA, 451 nt
Filed under: uncultured bacterium
Lineage: Bacteria
Description: bacterial SSU rRNA
Rfam family: Bacterial small subunit ribosomal RNA
Source: RNAcentral
AGCGAACGCUGGCGGCAGGCUUAACACAUGCAAGUCGAGCGGGCAUAGCAAUAUGUAAGCGGCAGACGGGUGAGUAACGCGUGGGAACGUACCUUUUGGUUCGGAACAACACAGGGAAACUUGUGCUAAUACCGGAUAAGCCCUUACGGGGAAAGAUUUAUCGCCGAAAGAUCGGCCCGCGUCUGAUUAGCUAGUUGGUGAGGUAAUGGCUCACCAAGGCGACGAUCAGUAGCUGGUCUGAGAGGAUGAUCAGCCACAUUGGGACUGAGACACGGCCCAAACUCCUACGGGAGGCAGCAGUGGGGAAUAUUGGACAAUGGGCGCAAGCCUGAUCCAGCCAUGCCGCGUGAGUGAUGAAGGCCCUAGGGUUGUAAAGCUCUUUGUGCGGGAAGAUAAUGACGGUACCGCAAGAAUAAGCCCCGGCUAACUUCGUGCCAGCAGCCGCGGUAAU